Molecule: ribosomal RNA, 253 nt
Filed under: uncultured bacterium
Lineage: Bacteria
Description: partial 16S ribosomal RNA
Rfam family: Bacterial small subunit ribosomal RNA
Source: RNAcentral
UACAGAGGGGGCAAGCGUUGUUCGGAAUUACUGGGCGUAAAGGGCGCGUAGGCGGCCUUCUAAGUCGAACGUGAAAUCCCUGGGCUCAACCCAGGAACUGCGUCCGAUACUGGAAGGCUUGAAUCCGGGAGAGGGAUGCGGAAUUCCAGGUGUAGCGGUGAAAUGCGUAGAUAUUGGGAGGAACACCGGUGGCGAAGGCGGUUCUCUGGGCCUGUACUGACGCUGAGGAGCGAAAGCGUGGGGAGCGAACAGG